CCAUGCAGUCGAGGGGUAUUUAUCUUCGGAUAGAGAGACCGGCGCACGGGUGCGUAACGCGUAUGCAAUCUACCUUUUACAGAGGGAUAGCCCAGAGAAAUUUGGAUUAAUACCUCAUAGUAUAUAGACUUGGCAUCAAGAUUAUAUUAAAGUCACAACGGUAAAAGAUGAGCAUGCGUCCCAUUAGCUAGUUGGUAAGGUAACGGCUUACCAAGGCUACGAUGGGUAGGGGUCCUGAGAGGGAGAUCCCCCACACUGGUACUGAGACACGGACCAGACUCCUACGGGAGGCAGCAGUGAGGAAUAUUGGACAAUGGGCGCAAGCCUGAUCCAGCCAUGCCGCGUGCAGGAUGACGGUCCUAUGGAUUGUAAACUGCUUUUAUACGAGAAGAAACACUACUUCGUGAAGUAGCUUGACGGUAUCGUAAGAAUAAGGAUCGGCUAACUCCGUGCCAGCAGCCGCGGUAAUACGGAGGAUCCAAGCGUUAUCCGGAAUCAUUGGGUUUAAAGGGUCCGUAGGCGGUUUAAUAAGUCAGUGGUGAAAGCCCAUCGCUCAACGGUGGAACGGCCAUUGAUACUGUUAGACUUGAAUUAUUAGGAAGUAACUAGAAUAUGUAGUGUAGCGGUGAAAUGCUUAGAGAUUACAUGGAAUACCAAUUGCGAAGGCAGGUUACUACUAAUUGAUUGACGCUGAUGGACGAAAGCGUGGGUAGCGAACAGG
This 721-nucleotide ribosomal RNA is filed under the name Flavobacterium sp. Y4_348_3. RNAcentral describes it as "bacterial SSU rRNA". It matches the Rfam family "Bacterial small subunit ribosomal RNA", at positions 53 to 776 of the family's 1533-position model. The record is from RNAcentral. Lineage: Bacteria; Pseudomonadati; Bacteroidota; Flavobacteriia; Flavobacteriales; Flavobacteriaceae.